This 260-nucleotide unclassified non-coding RNA is filed under the name Herpotrichiellaceae sp. RNAcentral's name for it is "partial contains 5.8S ribosomal RNA, internal transcribed spacer 2, and large subunit ribosomal RNA". Lineage: Eukaryota; Fungi; Ascomycota; Eurotiomycetes; Chaetothyriales; Herpotrichiellaceae. The record is from RNAcentral.
CGCAUAUUGCGCCCUUUGGCAUUCCGAAGGGCAUGCCUGUCCGAGCGUCAUUAUCCACCCCUCAAACUAUGGUUUGGCGUUGGACUUAACCGCCAAAUUUGGCACGGUUGGUCUUGAAGAUAGUGACGGCGUCCUGGAAGGAACCGGUACGAGGAGCUUUUCGUUAAGCAUGUACGCGGGACGACUCUGGCGACGGCGGUCUCAUUUAUUACUUUUGUAGUGUUGACCUCGGAUCAGGUAGGAAUACCCGCUGAACUUAA